UCGUAUCGAAGAUUGCCGAGAAGAAGAUCAAGGAAGCUGGUGGAGCCGUCGUCCUCACUGCUUAAUUAGGGUUUGAUUUUGUUCUCUUGAUUAGGGUUUUGGAAUUAAUUACUUUUUAAAUUUUUAUUAAUGUUGACUCCGAACAAUGAGUUUUGUUCUAUUACCCUUACAUUGUUACAAUGCAUAUUAUCAAUGUCCAUGAGUUAUUAUAUGUUUUAAGUGGUUUUGUAUCUACUUUGUUGCUCAUUAGAUAUGAAAUGGUUAAAAUCUAAAUGUAUGAAUCGAUGAGCGUACAUUUAAUGGUGAUUUGAUAUGAAGUAUAAAUGAUCUGUUUCAUAUUACCUCAUAAUAAGGACCUAAAAGUUUCAACGUUCAGGUGCGACUUUCCCUUGAAGCAAUGAUCUGCCUGAUUUAGUCGCAAUCGGAAUCACAAAGAAUUUUUGUUACUGCCAAUAUGCACCAAUUGAUUUGUAGGAAUUAGAAAAAAUAAAAUAAAAUGGCGGUUCUUCCUUGUUCUUAUAGUUAUUAUUGUUACUUCUUUGAUUUUGAUUUGAUAGUUUCUGCAAAUAUAGAGUGCGCCUAAGAAAUGAAUAUAAGCUUUGAUUAACCAACAAAUAUUUGCCCGUGAAAACUCUGUUUGAAAUUUGGAGUAUUAGUAUGGUGCUGUGGUAGAUAUUAGGAAUCACAUGGUUUUAUGUUUUUCACUGAUGAUUUUUUCUUGUUGCGAGGAGUUUUCUUUAUAUUUAUGUAUGUCUAGUGUUGUACUUGCUUGGGAGGUUUUAAGCAUUGUGGACUCAAAAAGCUUCAGCUGGAUCAGCCCACAAAAUUGUUGUAGCUAAUAUUUGUGGUUUAGAUACUGUCUCUUGACCAUUGGAGUAUUAGUGUGUUCAUUUCUCUUGAAAAUAACACUCAAAGAUUGAUAUUAUUUACAUCUUACAUAUGUUAUGUGAUGUGACAUUCAGCCUCGUUUGUAAUUUUUAUUGGGUUAGAACUUAUAUGAUGAUCAAUAAUGUGUGCAUUUCUGCACUAAUAUUAAGGAUUGUUACAUUUUUAGUGCAUGCAACUCAUUGAUCAGCGUGUAUAAUCUGUGUUACUAUUGGAAAUACCAUUUUUUCAUGAAUGUCACAUUAGAUCUAUGAUGUGAGUCUUGGCACUAUAGGACUUGUUUCUUGAGUGAAGAUGGGUUGAUGAUAUCUAGAUGUUAGCAACAUUGAGGGUGUUUCUAUGGAGAUAAUCCAAUGAGUUAAUGAAAUUGUUGGAGUUCUGUUUCUUGUUGCUAGUUUUUUUUGUGGGAAUUUUCUGCUCAAACGAUGCUAUUGCUGCUAAUGUGAAGUUACUAUUGGCUGAGGGCUGUGUUUGUAUUUCUUUGGAUUUGCCAUGCCCGUGUUGGUUUUGUUGAUUCUUAUGGUUUCUUUAACAUCAGUAUAUGUCCACAAAUUUGUUUUUUAGUUUGAUUUUUUGCUACGUGAAAUUUCUUUUUGCCUUGGUUCGAUUCAUUUUUGUUACUGUUUAAAAAAACUCUUUUGAGUUCUGUUCAUGGCAGUACUUUGUGUGCCUGUGGGGUGUUAAAUGCCAUGUAAUAUUGUACCCAAUUAGAACAUUAUUGGUAUUGUUGGGUCUGGGCCUAUGGAGACCCAAUUCGAAAAUUAUUAGUUGGAUCAAGGUCUGUAUUCACUAUCGAACCAACCCAUUUGAGCCUGAUUUCACCUAGAUCAUGUAUCGUAGACAUGGUGGUGUUUCGAAUUGGAACAUCGCUCCUCGCUUAAAGCCGAUCAUGCCCAUUGAUUUGCCGACAAACAAGCUGCACCAAGAUGCCCAUGUAAAGACUCUGAUGUCUGAUGCCACGAGAAGAGGAAUGACCGGUCAAGAUGACUUGGUAGAAAGGGGAGAGGACGGGAGGAUGGGGGAGUACUUGUGUUCUUAGGAAUGAAUGCGCGAAAAUGGGGAUGAAUCUUUGAAGUGGAAAAUUAGAGCGCGUUUGGUUUGACAUUUUCAUUUGGAAUUAAUUACUUUUUAAAUUUUUAUUAAUGUUGACUCUGAACAAUGAGUUUUGUUCUAUUACCCUUACAUUGUUACAAUGCAUAUUAUCAAUGUCCAUGAGUUAUUAUAUGUUUUAAGUGGUUUUGUAUCUACUUUGUUGCUCAUUAGAUAUGAAAUGGUUAAAAUCUAAAUGUAUGAAUCGAUGAGCGUACAUUUAAUGGUGAUUUGAUAUGAAGUAUAAAUGAUCUGUUUC
Molecule: long non-coding RNA, 2233 nt
Filed under: Olea europaea (common olive)
Lineage: Eukaryota; Viridiplantae; Streptophyta; Magnoliopsida; Lamiales; Oleaceae
Description: long non-coding RNA (OEUR_LNC005211)
Source: RNAcentral